GCGGUGGGCGGGGCCGGGUCCUGUCAGGGAUCACGGAGGGGUUGGGGAUGGCGGAGCGCGGGGGACGCCCGGUGCCACCCCCUGCCCGGGCAGGGACACCUCCCGCUGCCUCCAAAGCCCGUCCAACCCGGCCCUGAACGCUUCCCGGGGAGCAGCCUCGCCUUCUCUGAGCGACCUGUGCCACAGCUUCACCGCCCUCCCAGGGAAAAUAUUCCUCGUAAUAUUCUGACUGAAUUUUCCCUCUUUCUGUUUGAACCCGCUCCCCCCUUGUCCUGUCACUUCAGUUCCUGCAGAAAAGUCCCUCUCCGGCUUCUGUAACCCCUUCAGAUCCUGGAAGGUGCUGUGAGGUCUCUACACCACCUUCUCCAGGCUGAGCAUCCCCAGCUCCCUCAGCCUUUCCCCAUGGGGAAGGCGUUUCCUGCCCUCUUCUCUCCCCCUGAGGCCCUUCUGGGCUCUGCUGGGCUCCCCUUGUGCACAGGCUGCUCCCCACGGUGCCCCCCAGGCUGGAUCAGACCCCUCAGUGAGGGCCAUGGCAGCAGCCAGGCCCUGUGGUGGGUCCCUCCUCAGCCCUGGGACCCCCUUGGCAGAGGGGUCCCCCCUGGGUGCUGUGUCCCCCCAUGGCCAUGGGGCUCAGAGUGCCCCCCAGGCUGGAUCAGACCCCUCAGUGAGGCCCAUGGCAGCAGCCAGGCCCUGCGGUGGGUCCCUCCUCAGCCCUGAGACCCCCUUGGCACAGGGGUCCCCCCUGGGUGCUGUGUCCCCCCAUGGCCAUGGGGCUCAGAAGGGGGACACUGGCCAAAAGGACCCCCCUGAGCCUCCCUCAGACCAGCCUCUGUGAGGUGAGACCAAAAAGAAAAAACCCAAAAAAAAAAAAGACUGAAGCUUUUCCUACCUCAGCCCUGCAGCAUCGUCCACAGGGAGAUGUGGGAUGGUUGUUUACAGGGAGGGGUGAAGUGGUUGUUUCCAGCUCAGCCGUGGAUCUACCAGCAAGUUCCAGCUUCUUCCUGGGAGCUAUGGCAACAGCAGACGUCUGAACAUCAGGUAAAAAAACAGAGAAAUCUCACCAACAGCCAAAGAAACGUGGACUGGUACCAGGAAAUAUCUGGAAGCAUGAAAAAAAAAAAAAAUCUGUUUUUCUAGUAAUGUUCUUUCUCUGGGCAGUACGUAUGUGUGCCACUAGAUGUCCUGGCAGCAUCAGCUCUUACACCACCGGAGCUACAACACAGGUUGGAAACAUCGGAUGAUUUAUUCUAAAAAACUCCUGUUAGGUAUUUUCUUGGAAUUUGGUGGGGGGUGAGGGAGUUUUUUUGGAUUUUUUUUGUUUUGUUUGUUUGUUUGUUUGUUUUUAAUAUUGUAAUUAUUAUAAUCCUUGUGCACAGACCACCUCGGAAACCUGGGGAGUUCUGACUCCUGCGAAACAGCUGCAGCACAGGCUGUCCUGCAGAUAACAAGUAUCAGGAGCACUUUGACUGCUAGAGUGAUUGAGAAAUUCCCCUAUAAUUCUGAGAUUUGGUUCACCUGCAGAGCCUUUUUUUAGUCUGAGAAUGUUGCUUUGGGGAGCUCCCUUCAGAACCUUCCAUCAGAAGGAGAGUCAUCCUUAGCCCGAGGAAGAUUUCUAGCAAUCAGGGAUUUGUUUUUAUGCAACAGAAUGGAAAUUUUCUGAAGAUCUUUAUUUUUUUUUCAAUAUUUCUUCACCAUCUAUUAUCUACAGGUUAUUGUAGUACCUGUAAGUUCCCCAAUUACCUAUACCAAAUGAACAAAAAGUAGAAUUUAUAGCAUGUUUACUUUAUUUGGCUAUGCGUUUUUCUAAGAAUUUGUAUGUUAAAAUAUGUAUGUACUUAAAUUUACAUCUCUAUCAAGAUACAAAGUGCUUCUGACUGUCAUUAAUAAGCUGUAACAAUAAUUUUCCUUGUGACAUUGAUUUGUUUCAUUGUGUCCACACAAGAUCACUUUGCUGUAAGGCUGCUGCUCCCAGUACAUGCACUUGUUCUUAGGCUGGAUAUCUUUUUUCUUUACUCCUUAAUUGUAAUUAAACAUGUAUUUA
RNAcentral lists this long non-coding RNA (2041 nucleotides) under Taeniopygia guttata (zebra finch). RNAcentral describes it as "lncRNA (ENSTGUG00000021530.1)". Lineage: Eukaryota; Metazoa; Chordata; Aves; Passeriformes; Estrildidae. The record is from RNAcentral.